GAACGAGGCGGCGAGGCGACCGCCGAUCGACCGGUGGUAGAUCGUGGAUCAGGAAACCGAGGCAGGAGAAGCAGGCGGCUGCCGGUCGGAGCGUGAGGUGAACUGAAUUUCAGAGUGAAAGAGAUCUUUGGUUUUGCCUUUGCUGACUGCUGAUCUGAUCGUCUCAAGUCUGGUGACCUGCUGCAGAAAACCCUCUCCCUCUAUCGUUGACAAGCAAUUAACAAGCAAUUUCAGUCUGUCCUAUCACUCUCCCUCUCCCUGCUCCAUCUUUUUUGACAAGCCAUUCUAUCUUCUAUCAUUUCUCCGCCAUGAGCUCUAUCUAAUUUUGACAAGCUUAAACCUGUGUUGACAAGAAACCAAGUUUGACAAGAAACCAAGUUUGACAAGAAACCAAGUUUGACAAAAAAACAAGUUUUUGGAAAUUGAGGUUACCACAACUUCGACGAUCUGUUUUCAGAAAUCUGAGAGAUCUCUGCUCUCACUGCUCCUUCUUUCCUGUCGUUAAACUCAUCCACUCAUUUUACUGGAAAUUACAAGUAGAAUGUUGAAUAUACAGUAGUAGAAUUACAGUACAGUAGAACUCACAGUAGAAACUACUUAC
Long non-coding RNA from Oreochromis aureus, 601 nucleotides. NCBI's taxonomy places the organism in Eukaryota, Metazoa, Chordata, Actinopteri, Cichliformes, Cichlidae. The record is from Ensembl.